RNAcentral lists this unclassified non-coding RNA (229 nucleotides) under Hevea brasiliensis (rubber tree). Lineage: Eukaryota; Viridiplantae; Streptophyta; Magnoliopsida; Malpighiales; Euphorbiaceae. The record is from RNAcentral.
GAUGACACAUGCUAAGUAAAAAAGCUGGACGGAACAAAACUACAAGCCUAGAACCAAAGGGAUACAAUCCUGGAACCAAAAGCCAGCUCACAUCUCAAGAGAAAAACAACAAACAAACAAGAAACAUGCUGAAGACACAAAUACAUACAACAAUUUCAAACCAGGAUUUAUAAGAAAGCAAUGAAAUCUUCAUUGCGCCUUGAACCUUGUUUGGCCAACAAAUCUGCAA